UACGUAGGGUGCAAGCGUUAAUCGGAAUUACUGGGCGUAAAGCGUGCGCAGGCGGUUUUGUAAGUCAGAUGUGAAAUCCCCGGGCUUAACCUGGGAACUGCGUUUGAAACGACAAGGCUAGAGUGUGGCAGAGGGGGGUGGAAUUCCACGUGUAGCAGUGAAAUGCGUAGAGAUGUGGAGGAACACCGAUGGCGAAGGCAGCCCCCUGGGUUAACACUGACGCUCAGGCACGAAAGCGUGGGGAGCAAACAGG
Molecule: ribosomal RNA, 253 nt
Filed under: uncultured bacterium
Lineage: Bacteria
Description: partial 16S ribosomal RNA
Rfam family: Bacterial small subunit ribosomal RNA
Source: RNAcentral